GAAAAAGUAAUGCAAGAACUGCUAACUCAUGUUACCACACCUAAUAGUGUGGCUUUUUCA
This 60-nucleotide transfer RNA is filed under the name Lipotes vexillifer (Yangtze River dolphin). Its description in RNAcentral is "tRNA-Ser". The record is from RNAcentral. Lineage: Eukaryota; Metazoa; Chordata; Mammalia; Artiodactyla; Lipotidae.